ACGGCUACUAUAAUCCGCAGUGAAUCCCACAAUAAUAUUUUUAAUUUCAUCAUUAUCUGCUGCUGCUUCAGCUUCAGUUUUGGCUUUGGCUAAUUUAGCUUUAGCCAUGCAAACAAACACAUAAGCUAAUGUAAGCACAAAAGUUGAUAAAUGAACUUGCUUUGAUUUUGAUGAUUUUGAUAACUGAUGAUUAACCUUGUGCCUCAGUUUCGUAAUAUCUUCACGCGUCAACUCAAAUGUGGCUCGGACCAAUUUGUUCAGAGACUCAGAGUCUAAGAAUGGUAAAACCUUCAAGCUCCGUAUCUUCUGGGGGUCCGAAUUAUCCGACCCGACAACCCACUUAUUCAGUUGCAGCAUGUCCUGACCUGUCGGAUCUUUGAUGACAGUCCGGUCGAGAAGAGGGGUUAGUUCAGGUGACAAACAAGGGUGAUGGCAUAAUUGUAAUUGUUUGCACAAAUAAGCCCAAGAUUUCAGGAACAAGGUCGAAGUUUUUCCAUCAAGAAUUGCGUGGUGAGAUGAAACACCAAUUGAGAAG
RNAcentral lists this long non-coding RNA (535 nucleotides) under Citrus sinensis (sweet orange). RNAcentral's name for it is "long non-coding RNA (CSIN_LNC004166)". Lineage: Eukaryota; Viridiplantae; Streptophyta; Magnoliopsida; Sapindales; Rutaceae. The record is from RNAcentral.